This 253-nucleotide ribosomal RNA is filed under the name uncultured bacterium. Its description in RNAcentral is "partial 16S ribosomal RNA". It matches the Rfam family "Bacterial small subunit ribosomal RNA", at positions 524 to 776 of the family's 1533-position model. The record is from RNAcentral.
UACGUAGGGACCAAGCGUUGUUCGGAUUUACUGGGCGUAAAGGGCGCGUAGGCGGCAUAUUAAGUCAGCUGUGAAAUCUCCGAGCUUAACUCGGAACGGUCAGCUGAUACUGAUGUGCUAGAGUGCAGAAGGGGCAAUCGGAAUUCUUGGUGUAGCGGUGAAAUGCGUAGAUAUCUGGAGGAACAUCGGUGGCGAAGGCGGCAUCCUGGACCGGUAUUGACGCUGAGGCGCGAAGGCCAGGGGAGCAAACGGG